UACGUAGGGUCCGAGCGUUGUCCGGAAUUACUGGGCGUAAAGGGCUCGUAGGCGGCCAACUAAGUCGGACGUGAAAUCCCCAGGCUCAACUUGGGAACUGCGUCCGAUACUGGAUGGCUUGAAUCCGGGAGAGGGAUGCAGAAUUCCAGGUGUAGCGGUGAAAUGCGUAGAUAUCUGGAGGAAUACCGGUGGCGAAGGCGGCAUCCUGGACCGGCAUUGACGCUGAGGAGCGAAAGCUAGGGGAGCAAACGGG
This 253-nucleotide ribosomal RNA is filed under the name uncultured bacterium. Its description in RNAcentral is "partial 16S ribosomal RNA". It matches the Rfam family "Bacterial small subunit ribosomal RNA", at positions 524 to 776 of the family's 1533-position model. The record is from RNAcentral.